UACAGAGGGGGCAAGCGUUGUUCGGAAUUACUGGGCGUAAAGGGCGCGUAGGCGGCCGCCUAAGUCAGACGUGAAAUCGCUCGGCUCAACUGGGCGGGGUCAGCGGAUACGGCGUGGCUGGAGCAAGCUAGGGGGCAAUGGAAUUCCCGGUGUAGUGGUGGAAUGCGUAGAUAUCGGGAGGAACACCAGUGGCGAAGGCGGUUGCCUGGAGCUUUGCUGACGCUGAUGCGCGAAAGCGUGGGGAGCGAUCCGG
This 253-nucleotide ribosomal RNA is filed under the name uncultured bacterium. Its description in RNAcentral is "partial 16S ribosomal RNA". It matches the Rfam family "Bacterial small subunit ribosomal RNA", at positions 524 to 776 of the family's 1533-position model. The record is from RNAcentral.